UGGGGAAUAUUGGACAAUGGGCGAAAGCCUGAUCCAGCCAUGCCGCGUGUGUGAAGAAGGUCUUCGGAUUGUAAAGCACUUUAAGUUGGGAGGAAGGGCAGUAAGCGAGUACCUUGCUGUUUUGACGUUACCGACAGAAUAAGCACCGGCUAACUCUGUGCCAGCAGCCGCUGUAAUACAGAGGGUGCAAGCGUUAAUCGGAAUUACUGGGCGUGAAGUGCGCGUAGGUGGUUCGUUAAGUUGAAUGUGAAAGCCCCGGGCUCAACCUGGCAACUACAUCCAAAACUGGCGAGCUAGAGUGAGGCAGAGGGUGGUGGAAUUUCCUGUGUAGCGGUGAGAUGCGUAGAUAUAGGAAGGAACACCAGUGGCGAAGGCGACCACCUGGGCUCAUACUGACACUGAGGUGCGAAAGCGUGGGGAGCAAACAGG
Molecule: ribosomal RNA, 429 nt
Filed under: Pseudomonadota bacterium
Lineage: Bacteria; Pseudomonadati; Pseudomonadota
Description: Proteobacteria bacterium partial 16S ribosomal RNA
Rfam family: Bacterial small subunit ribosomal RNA
Source: RNAcentral